Molecule: non-coding RNA, 435 nt
Organism: Paramuricea clavata
Lineage: Eukaryota; Metazoa; Cnidaria; Anthozoa; Malacalcyonacea; Plexauridae
Source: the annotation of a GenBank genome assembly
CAGAGACUUUACCGACCACAUGCAAAUUAGAGUCCUGGGUAUGAAUCGUACAGAUAUACUGCCUGUUAGCAGGCUAACUAGUGCCUGAUAGCAGGCUAACUACUGCCUGAUAACAAGCUAACAGCUGCUUGUUAUCAGACUAAACCCUCUAACCUUGAGACAGUCAUCUCGUUGCCGUCGUGCAGCUUUCGUUGUCGAGGUACAUUGGUAGGUAACCGUCGAUCGUGAGGUACAUUUUAUCCACAAAUGUUCAUAAUAAUUCGUAAGUGUUUCUUUAUCCAUUUAAUGUUCACAAUUAUCCAUAAAUGUUCACAAUAUUUCCAAUAGUACACAGUGUCACAGUAAUCCGUAUUUAUCCAUUGAUAUCCGCUACGACUCCCACUGGCCCUCCCAUCAGACACCUCAAAAUGACGUUUUGGUCAGUUUUAAUUUUUG